This 433-nucleotide ribosomal RNA is filed under the name uncultured bacterium. Its description in RNAcentral is "partial 16S ribosomal RNA". It matches the Rfam family "Bacterial small subunit ribosomal RNA", at positions 29 to 507 of the family's 1533-position model. The record is from RNAcentral.
AACGAACGCUGGCGGCAUGCCUAACACAUGCAAGUCGAACGAGACCUUCGGGUCUAGUGGCGCACGGGUGCGCAACGCGUGGGAACCUGCCCUUAGGUUCGGAAUAACUCCCCGAAAGGGGUGCUAAUACCGGAUAAUGUCUUCGGACCAAAGAUUUAUCGCCUUUGGAUGGGCCCGCGUUGGAUUAGCUAGUUGGUAGGGUAAAAGCCUACCAAGGCGACGAUCCAUAGCUGGUCUGAGAGGAUGAUCAGCCACACUGGGACUGAGACACGGCCCAGACUCCUACGGGAGGCAGCAGUGGGGAAUAUUGGACAAUGGGCGAAAGCCUGAUCCAGCAAUGCCGCGUGAGUGAUGAAGGCCUUAGGGUUGUAAAGCUCUUUUACCCGGGAUGAUAAUGACAGUACCGGGAGAAUAAGCGCCGGCUAACUCCGUG